Molecule: long non-coding RNA, 1247 nt
Organism: Hypanus sabinus (Atlantic stingray)
Lineage: Eukaryota; Metazoa; Chordata; Chondrichthyes; Myliobatiformes; Dasyatidae
Exons: 2
Source: RefSeq, a predicted model, not a curated record
CUCUGCGCCAUGGGGGGGGGGGGCAGGUUGAGGGAGGCUUAAAAGUGAGGCUGAAGAUUUCGAAUAAAGUUUUUUCCUUCGACUGCAGUUACCGACUCCGUGUCGUAAUUUUAGCGCUGCGUGUAGCACACCGCUACAUGGUCAGUAUUUAAUUAAAAUGUAUUUUAUGUUAGUUUGUUAGUUUUUGAAAUGUAAAUCUAAAUUUGAAGAUUAUGGUGAUCUUGUACAAUCUAAAUAAGACGUCGUGGCGACCCAUUUCCUGACACAUCCGAACCGGCUCACAAUUAGCCAGCGUUCAGGCUAAGGGAGAUAGCCUACGGGGGUUUGUGAGUACGUGUCUUUUGCAGCAUCCGCGCCCAUGGGGGGCGGGUUGAGGGAGGCUUAAAAGCAAGGCUGUUUAGUUCGAAUAAAGCUAUCUUUGACUGCAGUUUACUGACUGCGUGUAGCACACCGCUACAACGUGUUUUUAUCGCUGGCUGUCCAGAGGGGAGGUGCUGAAACGCUUUGUCGCGUGUCUGGAAGAAGUGAAAACUUUCCUGGGCAGCAAAGGGCUUACCUUUCCUGAGCUGGAACAGCCAGAGUGGCUGGAAAAGCUACACUUCAUGGUAGACAUGACAGCGCACCUGAACACGCUGAACACAGCUCUUCAGGGGAAAGGACGUACAGCCCUGCACAUGUUGGAGGAUGUUUUGGCACUCGAGCGCAAGUUGACGUUGCUUGCCAGAGAUUUACAGAAAGGCACAUUGUCUCACUUCCCCAAUUUGAGAGAGUUCAAACAAGGUCACGACAUGAUAAAUUCGGGGUAUUUACAUUCUGCAAUCAUCGCAAUGCAAACAUCGUUUGGGAAACGCUUCUGUGAGUUCAGAGAGGAAAAAAACACAUUAUCCUUCCCGGUCACUCCCCUAAGCAUCGAUCCAUCCCUACUGAAUACGACUGCAUUGUCAGGUUGACAGCUGGCUGACGUUAUUUUUGGUUUGCUGCUGGCGAACAAUUUAAGUUCGGCGUUUUUCAUAAAUACAAGAAGGACUCAAAUAGACAUUGAGUAUUUUACUUAAAAGUAACCUUCAACCCAACGUCUUUUUUCGGAGUUCAAAAUGUUUUUGUUGCAUGCAGAAAUGUAAUUUCGUUUUCUCUGCAGGAGUUCAUCAAUUUCAUAAAUGCAACACAUUAUAGUUUGUUUAUACAUAGCAUAAAGGCAAAACAAAACGUUGUAUGCAGUGUUAUUUCAUUUUAAAUGUCAAACGGGU